RNAcentral lists this ribosomal RNA (429 nucleotides) under Acidobacteriota bacterium. Its description in RNAcentral is "Acidobacteria bacterium partial 16S ribosomal RNA". It matches the Rfam family "Bacterial small subunit ribosomal RNA", at positions 355 to 776 of the family's 1533-position model. The record is from RNAcentral. Lineage: Bacteria; Pseudomonadati; Acidobacteriota.
UGGGGAAUUUUGGACAAUGGGGGAAACCCUGAUCCAGCCAUCCCGCGUGUGCGAUGAAGGCCUUCGGGUUGUAAAGCACUUUUGGCAGGAAAGAAACGUCAUGGGUUAAUACCCCGUGAAACUGACGGUACCUGCAGAAUAAGCACCGGCUAACUACGUGCCAGCAGCCGCAGUAAUACGUAGGGUGCAAGCGUUAAUCGGAAUUACUGGGCGUAAAGCGUGCGCAGGCGGUUCGGAAAGAAAGAUGUGAAAUCCCAGAGCUCAACUUUGGAACUGCAUUUUUAACUACCGGGCUAGAGUGUGUCAGAGGGAGGUGGAAUUCCGCGUGUAGCAGUGAAAUGCGUAGAUAUGCGGAUGAACACCGAUGGCGAAGGCAGCCUCCUGGGAUAACACUGACGCUCAUGCACGAAAGCGUGGGGAGCAAACAGG